AGAAUGAACGCUAGCGAUAUGCUUAACACAUGCAAGUUGAACGUUGUUUUCGAGUCAAAAUGAAAACAAAGUGGCGAACGGGUGCGUAACACGUGGGAAUCUGCCAAACAGUUUGGGCCAAAUCCUGAAUGAAUGAAAGCUAAAAAGCGCUGUUUGAUGAGCCCACGUAGUAUUAGGUAGUUGGUUAGGUAAAAGCUGACCAAGCCUACGAUGCUUAGCUGGUCUUUUCGGAUGAUCAGCCACACUGGGACUGAGACACGGCCCAGACUCCUACGGGAGGCAGCAGUGGGGAAUCUUGGACAAUGGGCGAAAGCCUGAUCCGGCAAUAUGGCGUGAGUGAAGAAGGGCAACGCAGCUUGUAAAGCUUCUUUCAUCGAGUGUGCGAUUGUGACAAGACUUGAAUAAGAAGCCCCGGCUAACUCCGCGCCAGCAGCCGC
This 437-nucleotide ribosomal RNA is filed under the name uncultured bacterium. RNAcentral describes it as "SSU rRNA". It matches the Rfam family "Bacterial small subunit ribosomal RNA", at positions 26 to 518 of the family's 1533-position model. The record is from RNAcentral.